AAAAACAAAAUAGGAAUUAAAAAAGAUUACAAUGGAAUUUAAAAUAAAGUUGUUAAAAUUUGCCUCGGCAUUGUCGUAGAAAAUCGGAUCAAAUACAACGCAUUACAGAACUUGUGAAGUCAAUUCGGCUUUUUAAUACAAGAGUAGCAAGCCGGGAUGGUCCGCGGAACACACUCCACUUUCCAGAGCCCCGGCUCCAGUAUUUAUCCACAUAUUGCAUAUGAGCCCAUCCCAAAUGCAAAUAAAGUUACAUUCCAAUCCGUGCAUCCCGCUUGUUCAGCUCAAUAACGCCCAUACCUGCUUUCCGUCAGAUUAUAAUGAUAAGACCCUUGCUUUGUUCCUGCAUUUAGCUAAAAGCAUUCUUUUGUUUGUGUAUUAUCUAAGAUCAGCAGACUAUGUGUCUCCUCAGUAUCUAGCGUGUCCACCUAUACUAAAAAUACUAUACAUUCCUCUAUUUUACAACCCUAUGUUUUGGCUCAGCACUUAGCUAAAAGCAUUCUUUUGUUUGUGUAUUAUCUAAGAUCAGCAUACUAUGUGUCUCCUCAGUUUCUAGCGUCUCUACGUCCUAAAAAUAUGCGAACUAUGUCUAUUGGUCAUCAGUUAGUCAUUUGACUGACCCCCUCCUUUGUAUAUCCCUCUGGCCUUGGUAUGUCCAGCUAUUCUGUCACCUAUGUGUCCUUCUCUUCAUGUAGUCUGGUUUUAAUGGUCAGCUAUUCUGUACAUCUUAUGCAUUUGUCUAUGUGUUAUAUUUGCUCCCACAGCAUCAGAGGCCCAUGUUGUCCAAAGGUGGGGAGGUGAUAACUAAUGUUUGGAAACUGUUGUCUGCCUCUGAGUAACUUGCCUGUCCAACCCAAAUCUAAGAGACUGUGUGUAGUUUGAAUCAGAGCUCUCUGUUGUCUUUGGUACACACUUGUAGGGUGGUGUGGGAGGAACCCUGUGACAUCAGAAACAAAUGUACCCUAGCUAUUGCAUAAUCCCCCCAUCAGUUUGUUCAUUACAGAUAGGCUUUUAAUGAAGCUUUUCUAGUCUAUUUAAUGAAAAAAGCAUCUAAUUAACGUGCACAGAUGCAGAAGAGUAGGGAGGUAAGGCAAUAAAUAGGCCAUAGAGGCGAAAUAAUUACAAUUUAGCGUUAACACAGGAGUGAUAGAUGUGCAGAUGAUGAUGUGCAAGUGGAGAUACUGGGGUGCCAAAGAGCAGAGGGAUAAGUAACAAUAUGGGGAUGAGGUAGUGGGGUGUGCUGUUUACAGAUUGGCUGUGUACGUUCAGGCACAGUGAUUGGUAAAGGAAGUGUUGGCUUUGGGGAUGACCAGUGAAAUAUACCUGCUGGAGCGCUUGCUACCGGUGGGUGUUGCAUACACACCCACACACAGGUCCAGAGGAAGAGAGACAGAGAGAGCCUGAGAUUUCAUUAAAGGGCUUCCAAAUCCACAGCUCGUAACUUGAUGCAACCAGAGGGCAGAGGAAGAGAGACAGAAGACCAGAGGAAGAGCUGUCAUUAGUUGAAGUGAUAGCAACUCCGACUGGGAGCCCCCGGUGCCAAGCUGCCCGCUCUACCCCUGCCCCCAGUGGUGUUCAUAUGCCACAGUUCAUUACUGCAGGCAUGACUGUGCCUCAGGGCCAAAAGGGCACAGUAUGGAGGCGUCGUUGUGUUCUGUGUCGCAUGAAAUGCACCACUUGUUCAGUUUGCCUCUGCUUUACAUCAGAAAGAGACUUGGCACAGGCAGCAAAAUAUUGUGACGAGGACUUCCAAAGGGUGUACUGUUUUUAAAAAAAUAUUUAUUUUCUAAUAUUUAAAUUUUUUUGUGUGUGUGUGUUAGAAUUGCUUUUUGAUAUGUUGUAUAUAGUUAUUUGCACAUCUGCAUAUAGUUAUAGGUCCUUUCACCAAUUCGGCCACUUGGGUACAUUUGGGCACCUUGUGUGGGACACCUGCGUGACUUCAUGCUAAAUGUCAUGUAGCUCAUUCAUUCCUGAAGUUAUCAGUCUGAAACUUUCCACACCUACAGUUGCCCUGUUGUGUUAUCCAUCAAAAUUAUCUCCAGCAUCCUAUCUGAAUGUGUGGCUAUUCUAGUAAAUGUGAAGAUGAUACUACAACAAUAAAAAACAGAAAAUGUA
This is a long non-coding RNA of Oncorhynchus masou masou (cherry salmon), 2112 nucleotides long. RefSeq lists it as uncharacterized. The record is from RefSeq and is a predicted model, not a curated record. NCBI's taxonomy places the organism in Eukaryota, Metazoa, Chordata, Actinopteri, Salmoniformes, Salmonidae. The transcript is spliced from 3 exons.